AUUGAACGCUGGCGGAAUGCUUUACACAUGCAAGUCGAACGGCAGCACGGGGGCAACCCUGGUGGCGAGUGGCGAACGGGUGAGUAAUACAUCGGAACGUGCCCAGUCGUGGGGGAUAACUACGCGAAAGCGUAGCUAAUACCGCAUACGAUCUAAGGAUGAAAGCGGGGGACCGUAAGGCCUCGCGCGAUUGGAGCGGCCGAUGGCAGAUUAGGUAGUUGGUGGGGUAAAGGCNCACCAAGCCGACGAUCUGUAGCUGGUCUGAGAGGACGACCAGCCACACUGGGACUGAGACACGGCCCAGACUCCUACGGGAGGCAGCAGUGGGGAAUUUUGGACAAUGGGCGCAAGCCUGAUCCAGCCAUUCCGCGUGCA
Molecule: ribosomal RNA, 375 nt
Filed under: uncultured bacterium
Lineage: Bacteria
Description: bacterial SSU rRNA
Rfam family: Bacterial small subunit ribosomal RNA
Source: RNAcentral